AUCUUAACGACGCCCGUCGUNAUGNCAUCCUAACAUUGGNACGUUGGNUUCUAUAGAGAUCUCACACUGAGACCGCUCGUUUNACAGCCUAACACAUGCAAGUCGAACGGCAGCACAGGAGAGCUUGCUCUCUGGGUGACGAGUGGCGGACGGGUGAGGAAUACAUCGGAAUCUACUCUGUCGUGGGGGAUAACGUAGGAAACUUACGCUAAUACCGCAUACGACCUACGGGUGAAAGCAGGGGAUCUUCGGACCUUGCGCGAUUGAAUGAGCCGAUGUCGGAUUAGCUAGUUGGCGGGGUAAAGGCCCACCAAGGCGACGAUCCGUAGCUGGUCUGAGAGGAUGAUCAGCCACACUGGAACUGAGACACGGUCCAGACUCCUACGGGAGUGCAGCAGUGGGGAAUAUUUGGACAAUGGGCGCAAGCCUGAUCCCAGCCAUACCGCGUGGGUGAAGAAGGCCUUCCGGGGUUGUAAAAGCCCUUUUUGUUUGGGAAAGGAAUCCAGCUNGGCUAAUACUUGGUUGGGAUGACGGUACCCCAAAAGGAAUAAGCCACCCGGGCUAAACUUCGNUGCCAGCAGCCGGCCGGUAACUAACGAAGGGGUGCAAAGCGUUANCUUCCGGGAAUUAUACCUGGGGCGGUAAAAGCGUAGCGUAAGUAGGCCCNGCUUAAAGUUCCCGUUGUUGUGAAAGNCCCCUGGGGCUUCACCCUCGGG
Molecule: ribosomal RNA, 716 nt
Filed under: uncultured bacterium
Lineage: Bacteria
Description: bacterial SSU rRNA
Rfam family: Bacterial small subunit ribosomal RNA (bases 71-615)
Source: RNAcentral